Molecule: ribosomal RNA, 824 nt
Filed under: uncultured bacterium
Lineage: Bacteria
Description: bacterial SSU rRNA
Rfam family: Bacterial small subunit ribosomal RNA
Source: RNAcentral
GGCGUGCUUAACACAUGCAAGUCGAACGAUGAAGCCUAGCUUGCUAGGUGGAUUAGUGGCGCACGGGUGAGUAAUAUAUAGAUAACGUGCCUCUUAGUCUGGGAUAGCCAUUGGAAACGAUGAUUAAUACUAGAUACUCCUUCUAACUCUAAUGUUAGUCGGGAAAGUUUUUCGCUAAGAGAUCGGUCUAUAUCCCAUCAGCUAGUUGGUAGUGUAAGAGACUACCAAGGCAAUGACGGGUAGCGGGUUUGAGAGGAUGAUCCGCCACACUGGUACUGAGACACGGACCAGACUCCUACGGGAGGCAGCAGUGAGGAAUAUUGCACAAUGGAGGAAACUCUGAUGCAGCAACGCCGCGUGGAGGAUGACGCAUUUCGGUGUGUAAACUCCUUUUAUAUGUCAAGAAAAUGACGGUAGCAUAUGAAUAAGCACCGGCUAACUCCGUGCCAGCAGCCGCGGUAAUACGGAGGGUGCAAGCGUUAUUCGGAAUCACUGGGCGUAAAGGACGCGUAGGCGGGAUGCCAAGUCUGAUGUGAAAUCCUAUGGCUUAACCAUAGAACUGCAUUGGAAACUGGUAACCUAGAGUAUGGGAGGGGGAGAUGGAAUUAGUGGUGUAGGGGUAAAAUCCGUAGAUAUCACUAGGAAUACCGAAAGCGAAGGCGAUCUCCUGGAACAAUACUGACGCUAAGGCGUGAAAGCGUGGGGAGCAAACGGGAUUAGAUACCCCGGUAGUCCACGCCCUAAACGAUGUUCACUAGUCGUCGGGAUGCUAGUCAUCUCGGUGAUGCACUUAACAGAUUAAGUGAACCGCCUGGGGAGUACGG